UACAGAGGGUGCAAGCGUUAAUCGGAAUUACUGGGCGUAAAGCGCGCGUAGGUGGUUCGUUAAGUUGGAUGUGAAAUCCCCGGGCUCAACCUGGGAACUGCAUCCAAAACUGGCGAGCUAGAGUAUGGUAGAGGGUGGUGGAAUUUCCUGUGUAGUGGUGAAAUGCGUAGAUAUAGGAAGGAACACCAGUGGCGAAGGCGACCACCUGGACUGAUACUGACACUGAGGUGCGAAAGCGUGGGGAGCAAACAGG
Molecule: ribosomal RNA, 253 nt
Filed under: uncultured bacterium
Lineage: Bacteria
Description: partial 16S ribosomal RNA
Rfam family: Bacterial small subunit ribosomal RNA
Source: RNAcentral